Molecule: ribosomal RNA, 758 nt
Filed under: uncultured bacterium
Lineage: Bacteria
Description: bacterial SSU rRNA
Rfam family: Bacterial small subunit ribosomal RNA
Source: RNAcentral
GAUGAACGCUAGCUACAGGCUUAACACAUGCAAGUCGAGGGGCAGCAUGGUCUUAGCUUGCUAAGGCCGAUGGCGACCGGCGCACGGGUGAGUAACGCGUAUCCAACCUGCCUUACACUCUUGGACAGCCUUCUGAAAGGGAGAUUAAUACAAGAUGUUAUCAUGAGUAAGCAUUUUCGCAUGAUUAAAGGUUUACCGGUGUAAGAUGGGGAUGCGUUCCAUUAGAUAGUAGGCGGGGUAACGGCCCACCUAGUCUUCGAUGGAUAGGGGUUCUGAGAGGAAGGUCCCCCACAUUGGAACUGAGACACGGUCCAAACUCCUACGGGAGGCAGCAGUGAGGAAUAUUGGUCAAUGGACGAGAGUCUGAACCAGCCAAGUAGCGUGAAGGAUGAAGGUUCUAUGGAUUGUAAACUUCUUUUAUACGGGAAUAAACGGAUCCACGCGUGGAUUUUUGCAUGUACCGUAUGAAUAAGGAUCGGCUAACUCCGUGCCAGCAGCCGCGGUAAUACGGAGGAUGCGAGCGUUAUCCGGAUUUAUUGGGUUUAAAGGGUGCGUAGGCGGUUGAUUAAGUUAGUGGUAAAAUGUCAUGGCUAAACCUUGGCCAGCCAUUAAUACUGGUCAGCUUGAGUACAGACGAGGGAGGCGGAACAAGUGAAGUAGCGGUGAAAUGCAUAGAUAUCACUUGGAACCCCGAUAGCGAAGGCAGCUUCCCAGGCUCGAUCUGACGCUGAUGCGCGAGAGCGUGGGUAGCGAACAGG